RNAcentral lists this ribosomal RNA (253 nucleotides) under uncultured bacterium. RNAcentral's name for it is "partial 16S ribosomal RNA". It matches the Rfam family "Bacterial small subunit ribosomal RNA", at positions 524 to 776 of the family's 1533-position model. The record is from RNAcentral.
UACGAAGGGGGCUAGCGUUGUUCGGAAUUACUGGGCGUAAAGGGCGCGCAGGCGGUCGCUCAAGUCAGGGGUGAAAGCCUGUGGCUCAACCACAGAAUUGCCUUUGAUACUGUUUGGCUAGAGACCGGAAGAGGUAAGUGGAACUGCGAGUGUAGAGGUGAAAUUCGUAGAUAUUCGCAAGAACACCAGUGGCGAAGGCGGCUUACUGGUCCGGUUCUGACGCUGAGGCGCGAAAGCGUGGGGAGCAAACAGG